Molecule: ribosomal RNA, 433 nt
Filed under: uncultured bacterium
Lineage: Bacteria
Description: partial 16S ribosomal RNA
Rfam family: Bacterial small subunit ribosomal RNA
Source: RNAcentral
AACGAACGCUGGCGGCAUGCCUAACACAUGCAAGUCGAACGAGACCUUCGGGUCUAGUGGCGCACGGGUGCGUAACGCGUGGGAACCUGCCCUUAGGUUCGGAAUAACUCCCCGAAAGGGGUGCUAAUACCGGAUAAUGUCUUCGGACCAAAGAUUUAUCGCCUUUGGAUGGGCCCGCGUUGGAUUAGCUAGUUGGUAGGGUAAAAGCCUACCAAGGCGACGAUCCAUAGCUGGUCUGAGAGGAGGAUCAGCCACACUGGGACUGAGACACGGCCCAGACUCCUACGGGAGGCAGCAGUGGGGAAUAUUGGACAAGGGGCGAAAGCCUGAUACAGCAAUGCCGCGUGAGUGAUGAAGGCCUUAGGGUUGUAAAGCUCUUUUACCCGGGAUGAUAAUGACAGUACCGGGAGAAUAAGCUCCGGCUAACUCCGUG